UACUGUGCCAGCAGCCGCGGUAAUACGAGAGGUGUGCCAAGCGUUAUCUCGGAUUUAUCUGGGCGUAAAGCCGUGCGUAGUCGUUCUAUUUAAGUUCUGAAUUGUGAAAUCCCCGAGUUUAACCUUGGGAGGUGCAUUGGAUACUGGUUGGCUAGAGUAUGGGAGAGGAUGGUAGAAUUCCAGGUGUAGCGGUGAAAUGCGUAGAGAUAUGGAGGACUACCGAUGGCGAAGGCAGCCAUCUGUCCUAAACUGACGUUGAGGUACGAAAGCAUGGGGAGCAACCAGGAUUAGAUACCCUGGUAGUCCAUGCCGUAAACGAUGUUUAUUAGCCGUUGGGGCCUUUGAGCCUUUAGUGGCGCAGCUAACGCGAUAAGUAGUCCGCCUGGGGAGUACGGUCGCAAGGCUAAAACUCAAAUGAAUUGACGGGGGCCCGCACAAGCGGUGGAGCAUGUGGUUUAAUUUGAAGCAACGCGAAGAACCUUACCUGGCCUUGACAUCCUUAGAACUUCCCAGAGAUGGGGUGUUUCCUUCGGGAACUGUGAUACAGGUGGUGCAUGGUUGUCGUCAGCUCGUGUCGUGAGAUGUUGGGUUAAGUCCCGCAACGAGCGCAACCCUUUUCUUUAUUUGCCAGCACUUAGGGUGGGAACUUUAAGGAUACUGCCAGUGACAAACUGGGGAAGGCGGGGACGACGUCAAGUCAUCAUGCCCCUUACGCCCAGGGCUACACACGUGUUACAAUGGUCGGUACAAAGGGUUGCAACACAGCGAGGUGAUGCUAAUCUCAAAAACCCGUUCGUAGUCCGGAUUGGAGUCUGCAAUUCGACUCCAUGAAGUGGGAAUCGUUAGUAAUCGCGGAUCAGAAUGCCGCGGGGAAUACGUUCCCGGCCCUUGUACACACCGCCCGUCACACCAUGGGAGUUUGUUCCACCAGAAGUAGGUAGUCUAACCUU
RNAcentral lists this ribosomal RNA (950 nucleotides) under Acinetobacter radioresistens. Its description in RNAcentral is "bacterial SSU rRNA". It matches the Rfam family "Bacterial small subunit ribosomal RNA", at positions 501 to 1442 of the family's 1533-position model. The record is from RNAcentral. Lineage: Bacteria; Pseudomonadati; Pseudomonadota; Gammaproteobacteria; Moraxellales; Moraxellaceae.